GUGGGGAAUAUUGGACAAUGGGGGGAACCCUGAUCCAGCCAUGCCGCGUGUGUGAAGAAGGCCUUUUGGUUGUAAAGCACUUUAAGCGAGGAGGAGGCUACCGAGAUUAAUACUCUUGGAGAGUGGACGUUACUCGCAGAAUAAGCACCGGCUAACUCUGUGCCAGCAGCCGCGGUAAUACAGAGGGUGCAAGCGUUAAUCGGAUUUACUGGGCGUAAAGCGCGCGUAGGUGGCCAAUUAAGUCAAAUGUGAAAUCCCCGAGCUUAACUUGGGAAUUGCAUUCGAUACUGGUUGGCUAGAGUAUGGGAGAGGAUGGUAGAAUUCCAGGUGUAGCGGUGAAAUGCGUAGAGAUCUGGAGGAAUACCGAUGGCGAAGGCAGCCAUCUGGCCUAAUACUGACACUGAGGUGCGAAAGCAUGGGGAGCAAACAGGAUUAGAAACCCGUGUAGUCC
Molecule: ribosomal RNA, 451 nt
Filed under: uncultured bacterium
Lineage: Bacteria
Description: partial 16S ribosomal RNA
Rfam family: Bacterial small subunit ribosomal RNA
Source: RNAcentral